GAUAUGUGAAUACAUAGCAUAUCAGAAGGCACACCCGGAGAACUGAAACAUCUUAGUACCCGGAGGAAGAGAAAGAAAAUUCGAUUCCCUUAGUAGCGGCGAGCGAAACGGGAAGAGCCCAAACCAACAAGCUUGCUUGUUGGGGUUGUAGGACACUCUAUACGGAGUUACAAAGGACGACAUUAGACGAAUCAUCUGGAAAGAUGAAUCAAAGAAGGUAAUAAUCCUGUAGUCGAAAAUGUUGUCUCUCUUGAGUGGAUCCUGAGUACGACGGAGCACGUGAAAUUCCGUCGGAAUCUGGGAGGACCAUCUCCUAAGGCUAAAUACUCUCUAGUGACCGAUAGUGAACCAGUACCGUGAGGGAAAGGUGAAAAGCACCCCGGAAGGGGAGUGAAAUAGAACCUGAAACCGUGUGCUUACAAGUAGUCAGAGCCCGUUAAUGGGUGAUGGCGUGCCUUU
This 459-nucleotide ribosomal RNA is filed under the name Staphylococcus aureus. RNAcentral describes it as "partial 23S ribosomal RNA". It matches the Rfam family "Bacterial large subunit ribosomal RNA", at positions 153 to 608 of the family's 2925-position model. The record is from RNAcentral. Lineage: Bacteria; Bacillati; Bacillota; Bacilli; Caryophanales; Staphylococcaceae.